This 21-nucleotide non-coding RNA is filed under the name Arabidopsis thaliana (thale cress). Lineage: Eukaryota; Viridiplantae; Streptophyta; Magnoliopsida; Brassicales; Brassicaceae. The record is from RNAcentral.
GAACAUUGAUACAUGACUCAA